CCUACGGGGGGCAGCAGUGGGGAAUAUUGGACAAUGGGCGAAAGCCUGAUCCAGCCAUGCCGCGUGUGUGAAGAAGGCCUUCGGGUUGUAAAGCACUUUCAGUGGGGAAGAAAGCCUUGGGGCUAAUACCCUCGAGGAAGGACAUCACCCACAGAAGAAGCACCGGCUAACUCCGUGCCAGCAGCCGCGGUAAUACGGAGGGUGCGAGCGUUAAUCGGAAUUACUGGGCGUAAAGCGCGCGUAGGCGGUCUGAUAAGCCGGUUGUGAAAGCCCCGGGCUCAACCUGGGAACGGCAUCCGGAACUGUCAGGCUAGAGUGCAGUAGAGGAAGGUAGAAUUCCCGGUGUAGCGGUGAAAUGCGUAGAGAUCGGGAGGAAUACCAGUGGCGAAGGCGGCCUUCUGGACUGACACUGACGCUGAGGUGCGAAAGCGUGGGUAGCAAACAGGAUUAGAUACCCCGGUAGUC
Molecule: ribosomal RNA, 465 nt
Filed under: Vreelandella stevensii
Lineage: Bacteria; Pseudomonadati; Pseudomonadota; Gammaproteobacteria; Oceanospirillales; Halomonadaceae
Description: partial 16S ribosomal RNA
Rfam family: Bacterial small subunit ribosomal RNA
Source: RNAcentral